This 261-nucleotide ribosomal RNA is filed under the name uncultured prokaryote. RNAcentral's name for it is "partial 16S ribosomal RNA". It matches the Rfam family "Bacterial small subunit ribosomal RNA", at positions 524 to 784 of the family's 1533-position model. The record is from RNAcentral.
CACGUAGGGGGCAAGCGUUGUCCGGAUUUAUUGGGCGUAAGGAGCUCGUAGGCGGCUGAGUAAGUCGGAUGUCAAAUCCUCAGGCUCAACCUGGGGCUCCAUCCGAUACUGCUCUGGCUAGAGUCCGGUAGGGGAGCGUGGAAUUCCUGGUGUAGCGGUGAAAUGCGUAGAUAUUAGGAGGAAUACCAGUUGCGAAGGCGGCUCUCUGGACUGUAACUGACACUGAGGCACGAAAGCGUGGGGAGCAAACAGGAUUAGAUA